This 253-nucleotide ribosomal RNA is filed under the name uncultured bacterium. Its description in RNAcentral is "partial 16S ribosomal RNA". It matches the Rfam family "Bacterial small subunit ribosomal RNA", at positions 524 to 776 of the family's 1533-position model. The record is from RNAcentral.
UACGUAGGGGGCUAGCGUUGUCCGGAAUCAUUGGGCGUAAAGCGCGUGUAGGCGGUCCGGUAAGUCCGCUGUGAAAGUCGGGGGCUCAACCCUCGGAUGCCGGUGGAUACUGUCGGGCUUGAGUACGGAAGAGGCGAGUGGAAUUCCUGGUGUAGCGGUGAAAUGCGCAGAUAUCGGGAAGAACACCCGUGGCGAAGGCGGCUCUCUGGGACGGUACUGACGCUGAGACGCGAAAGCGUGGGGAGCAAACAGG